This 136-nucleotide microRNA precursor is filed under the name Hordeum vulgare. Its description in RNAcentral is "microRNA MIR1122". It matches the Rfam family "MIR1120/MIR1122 microRNA precursor family". The record is from RNAcentral. Lineage: Eukaryota; Viridiplantae; Streptophyta; Magnoliopsida; Poales; Poaceae.
AAACUACUCCCUCCGUUCCAAAAUUCUUGUCUUACAUUUGUCUAGAUAUAAAUGCAUCUAGUCAUGUUUUAGUACUUAGAUACAUCCAUUUUUAGACAAAUUUAAAACAAGAAUUUUGGGACGGAGGGAGUAUAUA